This 237-nucleotide long non-coding RNA is filed under the name Elaeis guineensis (African oil palm). RNAcentral describes it as "long non-coding RNA (EGUI_LNC028199)". The record is from RNAcentral. Lineage: Eukaryota; Viridiplantae; Streptophyta; Magnoliopsida; Arecales; Arecaceae.
GGUCCUUCACCUGAUAGUUAUUAGGCCCAACCUCAUCUGCAUCCGCAUGAUAUCUCAUGCUAAUAGAGUGAUUGUAUCUUCCCGAUGCAACUGAAUUACUGUAUCCAGCCAAAAAUAAUCAAUAUCGAAAAGGACCCGUACAUCUAUAAUGGUAGAAGACCACUAAACUAUAUAUUUAUGAGAAGAUUUUAUUUAGAUCUCUUAUUCUUAAUUAUUUAUUUAUAUCUGAUGUAAAUC